RNAcentral lists this unclassified non-coding RNA (399 nucleotides) under Hevea brasiliensis (rubber tree). The record is from RNAcentral. Lineage: Eukaryota; Viridiplantae; Streptophyta; Magnoliopsida; Malpighiales; Euphorbiaceae.
CUGAAAAGUAGCCCCAUUGAUGUAAUAAACUUGAUGGAAGAUGAGUAAAUGUCCAGGCAAUUGUAAAAAUGCAAUAACUAGCAUUAGACAAUAAGGCAAUAGACUAGAUGAUGAACGCAAAUCUUGUCCCUUGCGGAGGACAUCUAGAAAGAAUCCUUAAGUAAAUUAGGCAACUACAUGCUGUAAUCCUAUGCAUUAGUUUUACAAUGAACAUGAGGAACCCAAAAAUGAGUGAUAGUACAAGAAAAGAUAGCGUGAAAAACUUUUCAUAUUGACAACAUACUAACAUAGUUAAUGUUGUAUUAAUGAUAAUGAGGAAAUUUUGUUUGAAACAGUUUUUUUAGCCUAGUGACCAAACAUUUAUACAUUUUCUUAAUUGUAGGCUUAGCUACUUUUUUU